ACCUCUGAACAUAGCUCAGUUGGUUAGAGCAUGGGGCUGACCAUUCCAAGAUUGCAGGUUCAAUCCCUGUAUGGGGUU
Molecule: non-coding RNA, 78 nt
Organism: Podarcis lilfordi (Lilford's wall lizard)
Lineage: Eukaryota; Metazoa; Chordata; Lepidosauria; Squamata; Lacertidae
Source: the annotation of a GenBank genome assembly